This 72-nucleotide transfer RNA is filed under the name Sphaeropleales sp. YC001. Its description in RNAcentral is "tRNA-Met". It matches the Rfam family "tRNA". From Rfam's summary of the family: Transfer RNA (tRNA) molecules are approximately 80 nucleotides in length. Their secondary structure includes four short double-helical elements and three loops (D, anti-codon, and T loops). Further hydrogen bonds mediate the characteristic L-shaped molecular structure. tRNAs have two regions of fundamental functional importance: the anti-codon, which is responsible for specific mRNA codon recognition, and the 3' end, to which the tRNAs corresponding amino acid is attached (by aminoacyl-tRNA synthetases). tRNAs cope with the degeneracy of the genetic code in two manners: having more than one tRNA (with a specific anti-codon) for a particular amino acid; and 'wobble' base-pairing, i.e. permitting non-standard base-pairing at the 3rd anti-codon position. Lineage: Eukaryota; Viridiplantae; Chlorophyta; Chlorophyceae; Sphaeropleales. The record is from RNAcentral.
AGCAAGAUAGCUCAAAGGUAGAGCAUACGUUUCAUAAUCGUGUGGUUGUGAGUUCAAUUCUCUCUCUUGCUA